UAAGACUUCUGGGAGUUGAAG
Molecule: microRNA, 21 nt
Filed under: Anolis carolinensis (green anole)
Lineage: Eukaryota; Metazoa; Chordata; Lepidosauria; Squamata; Anolidae
Description: aca-miR-5408a-3p
Source: miRBase by way of RNAcentral